This 451-nucleotide ribosomal RNA is filed under the name Vreelandella aquamarina. Its description in RNAcentral is "bacterial SSU rRNA". It matches the Rfam family "Bacterial small subunit ribosomal RNA", at positions 125 to 577 of the family's 1533-position model. Lineage: Bacteria; Pseudomonadati; Pseudomonadota; Gammaproteobacteria; Oceanospirillales; Halomonadaceae. The record is from RNAcentral.
UCUGCCCGAUAGUGGGGGAUAACCUGGGGAAACCCAGGCUAAUACCGCAUACGUCCUACGGGAGAAAGGGGGCUCCGGCUCCCGCUAUGGGAUGAGCCUAUGUCGGAUUAGCUAGUUGGUGAGGUAACGGCUCACCAAGGCAACGAUCCGUAGCUGGUCUGAGAGGAUGAUCAGCCACAUCGGGACUGAGAGACGGCCCGAACUCCUACGGAAGGCAGCAGUGGGGAAUAUUGGACGAUGGGUGAAACCCUGAUCCAGCCAUGCCGCGUGUGUGAAGAAGGCCCUCGGGCUGUAAAGCACUUUCAGCGAGGAAGAACGCCUAGCGGUUAAUACCCGCUAGGAAAGACAUCACUCGCAGAAGAAGCACCGGCUAACUCCGUGCCAGCAGCCGCGGUAAUACGGAGGGUGCAAGCGUUAAUCGGAAUUACUGUGCGUAAAGCGCGCGUAGGUG